GAUGAACGCUGGCGGCGUGCCUAAUACAUGCAAGUCGAGCGAACAGAUGAGGAGCUUGCUCCUCUGACGUUAGCGGCGGACGGGUGAGUAACACGUGGAUAACCUACCUAUAAGACUGGGAUCACUUCGGGAAACCGGAGCUAAUACCGUAUAAUAUAUUGAACCGCAUGGUUCAAUAGUGAAAGACGGUCUUGCUGUCACUUAUAGAUGGAUCCGCGCCGCAUUAGCUAGUUGUUAAGGUAACGGCUUACCAAGGCAACGAUGCGUAGCCGACCUGAGAGGGUGAUCGGCCACACUGGAACUGAGACACGGUCCAGACUCCUACGGGAGGCAGCAGUAGGGAAUCUUCCGCAAUGGGCGAAAGCCUGACGGAGCAACGCCGCGUGAGUGAUGAAGGUCUUCGGAUCGUAAAACUCUGUUAUUAGGGAAGAACAAAUGUGUAAGUAACUAUGCACGUCUUGACGGUACCUAAUCAGAAAGCCACGGCUAACUACGUG
RNAcentral lists this ribosomal RNA (497 nucleotides) under uncultured bacterium. RNAcentral's name for it is "partial 16S ribosomal RNA". It matches the Rfam family "Bacterial small subunit ribosomal RNA", at positions 28 to 507 of the family's 1533-position model. The record is from RNAcentral.